GGGGGUUUAGCUCAGUUGAUAGAGCGCCUGCUUUGCAAGCAUGAUGUCAGCGGUUCGAGUCCGCUAACCUCCA
This 73-nucleotide transfer RNA is filed under the name uncultured Synechococcus sp. RNAcentral's name for it is "tRNA-Ala". It matches the Rfam family "tRNA". Rfam says of the family: Transfer RNA (tRNA) molecules are approximately 80 nucleotides in length. Lineage: Bacteria; Bacillati; Cyanobacteriota; Cyanophyceae; Synechococcales; Synechococcaceae. The record is from RNAcentral.